Non-coding RNA from Acanthosepion pharaonis, 114 nucleotides. The record is from the annotation of a GenBank genome assembly. NCBI's taxonomy places the organism in Eukaryota, Metazoa, Mollusca, Cephalopoda, Sepiida, Sepiidae.
UUACGGCUAUAUCAUGCUCAAAAAUCCGAUUUCAUACAAUCACAGAAGUUAAGCAACUUCGAGCUUGUCAGUACUUAGAUGGGUAGCCGCUUGGGAAUCAGUGGGCGCUGUAAG